GUGACAGGUGGUGCAUGGUUGUCGUCAGCUCGUGUCGUGAGAUGUUGGGUUAAGUCCCGCAACGAGCGCAACCCUUGAUCUUAGUUGCCAUCAUUUAGUUGGGCACUCUAAGGUGACUGCCGGUGACAAACCGGAGGAAGGUGGGGAUGACGUCAAAUCAUCAUGCCCCUUAUGAUUUGGGCUACACACGUGCUACAAUGGACAAUACAAAGGGCAGCGAAACCGCGAGGUCAAGCAAAUCCCAUAAAGUUGUUCUCAGUUCGGAUUGUAGUCUGCAACUCGACUACAUGAAGCUGGAAUCGCUAGUAAUCGUAGAUCAGCAUGCUACGGUGAAUACGUUCCCGGGUCUUGUACACACCGCCCGUCACACCACGAGAGUUUGUAACACCCGAAG
Molecule: ribosomal RNA, 394 nt
Filed under: Staphylococcus aureus
Lineage: Bacteria; Bacillati; Bacillota; Bacilli; Caryophanales; Staphylococcaceae
Description: bacterial SSU rRNA
Rfam family: Bacterial small subunit ribosomal RNA
Source: RNAcentral